GGGUGCGGAAUAAGUAGGUAACGUGCCCCGCACUACAGGAUAGCGUCCGGAACUUCCGUUCCUUCCGAAAGGGGCGGUAAUACUGUAUAAUGUCAUAAAACAUAAGUUUUAUGACCAAAGAUUUAUCGGUGUAGGAGCGGCCUAUUUCCUAUCAGCUUGUUGGUGAGGUAACGGCUCACCAAGGCAGCGACGGGUAGCGGGACUGAGAGGUUGACCCGCCACAUCGGGACUGAGACACUGCCCGGACCUCCACGGAGGGCUGCAGUAACGAAUAUUGCGCAAUGGACGAAAGUCUGACGCAGCAACGCCGCGUGUAGGAUGAAGCCCCUCGGGGUGUAAACUACUGUCAGGGGUCAGAAAGUGCGCUUCGGCGCAUUGAUCAGCCCCAGAGGAAGUCACGGCUAACUUCGUGCCAGCAGCCGCGGUAAUACGAAGGUGGCGAGCGUUGUUCGGAAUCACUGGGCUUAAAGCGCGCGUAGGCGGAAUGGCAUGUGCUUUGUGAAAUCCCACGGCUUAACCGUGGAAUUGCUUGGCAAACUGCUAUUCUUGAGGCAAGCAGGGGUGUAUGGAACUCUUGGUGGAGCGGUGGAAUGCGUAGAUAUCAAGAGGAACGCCAAUGGCGAAGGCAGUACACUGGGCUUGUCCUGACGCUGAGGUGCGAAAGCGUGGGGAGCGAACGGGAUUAGAUACCCCGGUAGUCCACGCUGUAAACGAUGUCUACUAGGUUGUGGAAGUUCUGACGCUUUCACGGCCGAAGCAAAAGUGUUAAGUAGACCGCCUGGGGAGUACGGUCGCAAGGCUAAAACUCAAAGGGAUUGACGGGGGCUCACACAAGCGGUGGAGCAUGUGGAUUAAUUCGAAGCAACGCGCAGAACCUUACCUGGGUUUGACAUGCUUGGAUGCCUGCCUGGAAACAGGUUAGGUUGCCCUUCGGGGUGAAACUUGCACAGGUGCUGCAUGGCUGUCGUCAGCUCGUGUCGUGAGAUGUCGGGUUAAG
Molecule: ribosomal RNA, 997 nt
Filed under: uncultured organism
Description: bacterial SSU rRNA
Rfam family: Bacterial small subunit ribosomal RNA
Source: RNAcentral